UACGUAGGUGGCAAGCGUUGUCCGGAUUUAUUGGGUUUAAGGGGUGCGUAGGCGGUCCUAUAAGUCAGUGCUGAAAUAUCCCGGCUUAACCGGGAGGGUGGCAUUGAUACUGUAGGACUUGAGUAGAGUUGAGGUUGGCGGAAUUGACGGUGUAGCGGUGAAAUGCUUAGAUAUCGUCAAGAACACCGAUAGUGUAGACAGCUAACUAAGCUCUAACUGACGCUGAGGCACGAAAGUGUGGGGAUCAAACAGG
Molecule: ribosomal RNA, 253 nt
Filed under: uncultured bacterium
Lineage: Bacteria
Description: partial 16S ribosomal RNA
Rfam family: Bacterial small subunit ribosomal RNA
Source: RNAcentral